AUGUAUCAUCAUUUUAGUUUUCUUCACCCAGAGAGCCACAAUGGAGCCACGUGUGGCUUCAAAGCCUCAGGUUGCAGACCCCCUGAAGCAACAGAAAACAGAAUUGCACCAGACCCAUUUGAGCUUCCUGUUAGCUGGCAGGCCUACGGGGGAGCGAUCCCACAUCAUUACAUCGGGCUGGUGGGGCCCUUUGUGUCCUUGACGCUUCCCUUUUGUCCCACUGUACGGAAACCCCAGGGAAGACCCAGGACAACAUGGAGAGACGACAACGUCUGUCCUGGGAAUUCCUCGGGAAUCCCCCAGAGGAGCUGGAGGGAGGAGGGGGCAAGAGAAGGUCUGGACAUGUUUGCUUAGACUGCUGCCCCGGCAUACCAAAUUUAAAAUGGAUUAAUUUUUUUUUAAAUCUGGACCAAACUGGAAUCAAAGAAUCUAAGAAAACAUUUUUGUUUUAGUGCUAUAUAAAAAAAUAGAAAUGUUGUCACUGAGACAUAAACGUUUGUUGCUUUCGUGUUUUGUCCAGCUGUUUGUUACUGUAGAUUUGUAGAACUGUUAUAUGAAUGUCUUCUUCUCUGAAUCACUCACACUUUUCAGAAGCCAGUUUAAUAAAAGUUCCCCUCCUCUGUGAAAGGGCUGAAAAGGAAAAGUUGGGUUGAACUCUCGAGGGAAAAAUGUGUCCCAGUUCCCACGUUUUUAGGCCAUAAUUCUGCUGGAAAAGCAUCUACUAUUUUUCCUCAUUACGGCUUCUGUCUCCUGAAAUCAGCCUCUUGUUUUCUUAAUCCUUCCAUCUCUUUUUUAAAGUUUUUUCUUUAUGCAAAAAUGAAGCCCCCUGCGCUUUACUCUACACAUUUUAGGUUUCUACUUAAAAAAAAACAAGUAAAAUGUAAAAAUAUUACUGGGAGAAAAUAGUCACGUUUCAUGAUUUUUCUAGUUUAGACUCAGCCAUAACGAUUCGUUUCCAGUUAAUGUAAUGAGAAUCCUGAAUUCGGCUGAGAUGUUUUGGACGUUUUGAGUGUGAACGGCUGUGACUCAUGCAAGGACAGUUUGACUGACAGCUGAGCUGCUUUGAUCCCUUCUUUUCAAUGUGAGAAAAUGAUUUCUCAAGACUGACCAGAUUUCUGAGGAGAACAGAGACAUUGGCAGAAAAGGAGGCCAGGAUGUCAUCAGUGACUGGUUAACACGCUGAAACAAACUAGUCUUCAAAUGUAACGAGUUGAAGCUAAACAGUGCAGUUAUCCUUGUCAACACUAAAAUCUAUUUGGUGGAUUUAUGUUAUCUUAACUUGCGAUUUAAAAAAUCACUAUUUAAACAUUUAGAAACUAGUGGCUGCAAACAGUGGAAUUACAUCAUGUGGUCACAUUUCUUCAAGUGAUUUUUGAUGGCUUUAGUUUUCCAAUAACUGUGUUCAGAAAUCUGUCUGUGCAUAGAGUUGAAGGAAGGUCUGAAAUGUUAAGAUCACACUUAGUUCUCCUCUGCAGUCUGUUCUCAGCCAAGAAAGCAAAAGCAGCAGGACGUGUGGGCAUCCGUCUGCAGACAGACGAGCUAACCCAGGCUCUGUCCUCUGAUCUGCUGAGAGGAGGCUCCAGCUGGUCCUGAUCCUGCUACAGGCUCAGUCUGAGCUCUGCAGACACAACAGUCCUGUUGGUCUUCACGAGAUUGUC
This 1658-nucleotide long non-coding RNA is filed under the name Oryzias sinensis (Chinese medaka). RNAcentral describes it as "lncRNA (ENSOSIG00000012046.1)". The record is from RNAcentral. Lineage: Eukaryota; Metazoa; Chordata; Actinopteri; Beloniformes; Adrianichthyidae.